This 66-nucleotide transfer RNA is filed under the name Epeorus dayongensis. RNAcentral describes it as "tRNA-Leu". It matches the Rfam family "tRNA". Rfam says of the family: Transfer RNA (tRNA) molecules are approximately 80 nucleotides in length. Their secondary structure includes four short double-helical elements and three loops (D, anti-codon, and T loops). Lineage: Eukaryota; Metazoa; Arthropoda; Insecta; Ephemeroptera; Heptageniidae. The record is from RNAcentral.
ACUACUUUGGCAGAUAAGUGCAAUGGAUUUAGAAUCCUUGAAUGGGGGUUAUGCCUUCAGGUAGUA